Molecule: ribosomal RNA, 436 nt
Filed under: uncultured archaeon
Lineage: Archaea
Description: bacterial SSU rRNA
Rfam family: Archaeal small subunit ribosomal RNA
Source: RNAcentral
UACUGCAUAGCUAGGGAGUGGGAGAGGUAGACGGUACUCUGUAGGAAGGGGUAAAAUCCUUUGAUCUAUAGAUGACCACCAGUGGCGAAGGCGGUCUACCAGAACACGUCCGACGGUGAGGGAUGAAAGCUGGGGGAGCAAACCGGAUUAGAUACCCGGGUAGUCCCAGCUGUAAACUAUGCAAACUCAGUGAUGCAUUGGCUUGUGGCCAGUGCAGUGCCGCAGAGAAGUCGUUAAGUUUGCCGCCUGGGAAGUACGUACGCAAGUAUGAAACUUAAAGGAAUUGGCGGGGGAGCACCACAAGGGGUGAAGCCUGCGGUUCAAUUGGAGUCAACGCCAGAAAUCUUACCCGGAGAGACAGCAGGAUGAAGGUCAAGCUGAAGACUUUACCAGACAAGCUGAGAAGUGGUGCAUGGCCGUCGCCAGCUCGUGCCGU